RNAcentral lists this ribosomal RNA (409 nucleotides) under Mandarina conus. RNAcentral describes it as "partial 16S ribosomal RNA". Lineage: Eukaryota; Metazoa; Mollusca; Gastropoda; Stylommatophora; Camaenidae. The record is from RNAcentral.
AGUUUUGAGCUAAAUAUAUUAUAAUAUUAGUUUAUUUAUGAAGGUGUUGUAAAACCUUAUUAAAAAUUAUAUUUAGGGGUGAUAGGCCUUUCAAAAACUAAGAUAUCUUGAAUCUAAUUAAAAGUAUGUAGUACACUCAACACAACUAUUAAGUGAUUAGGCUUUAUAGAACUAUUAACUUAUAAGGAUUUUUAUUUCUUAUAAUUUAAUAAUUAAGUAUAUAAAUAAAAUAAUAUACAUAUAUUAUAGUUUAUAAGGAGUAAUUAGAUAAAUUAAAGUUCAUAAAUUUUGUAAUAAUGUUAAUAUUAGUAUUAAGUUUAUAUUUAUAUGAUGAACUCGGCAAAAAUGUUUCUCAACUGUUUAUCAAAAACAUAACUAUGUGUAUAAAUACAUAGCGGUUUCUGCUCAA